AGAAAUUUCAAACCCCGUCUACGGUGCUGCUAACAAAAAAAACUACUAGGCAAGCUUCAUAAAUUAGAAAGAGAUGAAUUUUGGCUUUUCUCACAAAUAGAAAACAGAUGUAUAUGAGAGAAGGAUAGGAAGACGAAGAGAGCGAAAGUUCGACCUCGCACCUCUUUAAACUUUCAGCGAAAUCGGCACACCAAGUGUUUGUGGAAAGCUCUAAGAGAGAGAAACUUGAAGUUAGAAGGUAGAAGAAGCUCAUGAAUCUGUAAACCAUUUUAAGAAGUGUAGCGAAAAUAAACACUGUUCUAAAUACAGAAAUCAUAAGAAGCUAUAUCAAGGUACUCUCAAUUUCUAAAAAACCACCCAUCUUGAUUAUAGGAGAAUGUUUUGUUUCUUUUUUUUUCCCUGCUAGCAGUUCAUAAUUGCAAAACAGAUACUUGUCUUCAGGUUUGACAUUCACAGCGUCUGGAAUUGUAAUCAUCAUAAUGUGUCUGAAAUCGGUGAUGUAGUGUUAUUUGCUGGUAUUUUUUUACAUGAUGUGUUGUUGGUACCAAACUUUAAAUAUGAUCUCUUAUCUGUUGAGAAGUUGGUUGCUCAUAGCAAGAUUAAUGCUCAUUUUAAUGAACAUAAUUGUACUUAUCUAUCUUCUGUCAACAAGAAACUUGCUUUUGGUAAUAAGGUUGGAGGUGUGUAUUUUUUGAAUGUCUUCAUGGUUGGUCCUUCCAUCCAAUUCAUUCAUUCUUAUCCUAUCUCUAUUGCAGUCAAUACCUCACAUAAAUUAUCUUUAGAUACUCUUCAUGCUAGAUUAGGACAUAAUAGGAGUACUGUAAUUUUCUCUCUUUUUUUCUAUGUUGUUGAUGGUGUACGUUUACUAACUAUUAUAAUGUUUGAA
This is a long non-coding RNA of Beta vulgaris subsp. vulgaris (sugar beet), 886 nucleotides long. RefSeq lists it as uncharacterized. The transcript is spliced from 3 exons. NCBI's taxonomy places the organism in Eukaryota, Viridiplantae, Streptophyta, Magnoliopsida, Caryophyllales, Amaranthaceae. The record is from RefSeq and is a predicted model, not a curated record.